RNAcentral lists this non-coding RNA (148 nucleotides) under Burkholderia sp. YR290. The record is from RNAcentral. Lineage: Bacteria; Pseudomonadati; Pseudomonadota; Betaproteobacteria; Burkholderiales; Burkholderiaceae.
CCUGUUGUGCGACCGACAGUUGCCUAUCCAGACAUGCUCAACUGGUAACGGCUGGGUAUGAAGCUUUGGAGACAACGUGCCUCUCGAUUGACGGCUCACCCCGGUGACGGGGCGGGUCGACACUGCCAGCCGCCGUGCGGUGUGAGGU